CUCCACUGAUGACCUCUAUUUUGUGCCACGUGUCUGGGCCACUGAUUAUACACUGAUGGGAUUGAGGAACUGAGGAG
This is a small nucleolar RNA of Misgurnus anguillicaudatus (oriental weatherfish), 77 nucleotides long. RefSeq annotates it as small nucleolar RNA SNORD66. NCBI's taxonomy places the organism in Eukaryota, Metazoa, Chordata, Actinopteri, Cypriniformes, Cobitidae. The record is from RefSeq and is a predicted model, not a curated record.